RNAcentral lists this ribosomal RNA (378 nucleotides) under uncultured bacterium. RNAcentral describes it as "bacterial SSU rRNA". It matches the Rfam family "Bacterial small subunit ribosomal RNA", at positions 521 to 898 of the family's 1533-position model. The record is from RNAcentral.
UAAUACAGAGGGUGCGAGCGUUAAUCGGAUUUACUGGGCGUAAAGCGUGCGUAGGCGGCUUUUUAAGUCGGAUGUGAAAUCCCUGAGCUUAACUUAGGAAUUGCAUUCGAUACUGGGAAGCUAGAGUAUGGGAGAGGAUGGUAGAAUUCCAGGUGUAGCGGUGAAAUGCGUAGAGAUCUGGAGGAAUACCGAUGGCGAAGGCAGCCAUCUGGCCUAAUACUGACGCUGAGGUACGAAAGCAUGGGGAGCAAACAGGAUUAGAUACCCUGGUAGUCCAUGCCGUAAACUAUGUCUACUAGCCGUUGGGGCCUUUGAGGCUUUAGUGGCGCAGCUAACGCGAUAAGUAGACCGCCUGGGGAGUACGGUCGCAAGACUAAA